This is a non-coding RNA of Mycena albidolilacea, 83 nucleotides long. Lineage: Eukaryota; Fungi; Basidiomycota; Agaricomycetes; Agaricales; Mycenaceae. The record is from the annotation of a GenBank genome assembly.
UCCUUUCUGGUGUAGUGGUUAAUAUCUUCGCCUUCUGCUAGUGAAAGACUGGGAGGUCUGGUGUUCGAAUCCCUUGGGUGGAU